This 317-nucleotide unclassified non-coding RNA is filed under the name Hevea brasiliensis (rubber tree). Lineage: Eukaryota; Viridiplantae; Streptophyta; Magnoliopsida; Malpighiales; Euphorbiaceae. The record is from RNAcentral.
AGGUGGUUGCUGGGAAGUAUGCGGCUUCUGAUGAGGCGAAGGUUGAGAAUGGUGAAUGGCUUGCUCGUUCUGCUGUGGCCAAGGUGAAGAGUAUCUUCUCAGUCUCCAAAAUACAAUAGUACUUGCUGAGCGAUGAAAUUUUUUCAGUCAACGUUUUCCCCCUUGGGGGUGACAUUGUUCUUUUGACAUUCGAAUCCAAGGAUAUCAUGGACGGUUUCUUAUGGAUAAAGAUUCAUGUCUAAGCUGUUGGUUGGAUGAUCUGAAACCAUGGGAACCUAUCCUUACACCAAUGAAGAGAGCUGUAUGGUUGAGAUUAU